GACGAACGCUGGCGGCGUGCUUAACACAUGCAAGUCGAACGGAAAGGCCCUGCUUUUGUGGGUUGCUCGAGUGGCGAACGGGUGAGUAACACGUGAGUAACCUGCCCUUGACUUUGGGAUAACUUCAGGAAACUGGGGCUAAUACCGGAUAGGAGCUCCUGCUGCAUGGUGGGGGUUGGAAAGUUUCGGCGGUUGGGGAUGGACUCGCGGCUUAUCAGCUUGUUGGUGGGGUAGUGGCUUACCAAGGCUUUGACGGGUAGCCGGCCUGAGAGGGUGACCGGCCACAUUGGGACUGAGAUACGGCCCAGACUCCUACGGGAGGCAGCAGUGGGGAAUAUUGCACAGUGGGCGGAAGCCUGAUGCAGCAACGCCGCGUGCGGGAUGACGGCCUUCGGGUUGUAAACCGCUUUCACCUGUGACGAAGCGUGAGUGACGGUAAUGGGUAAAGAAGCACCGGCUAACUACGUG
This 468-nucleotide ribosomal RNA is filed under the name uncultured bacterium. Its description in RNAcentral is "partial 16S ribosomal RNA". It matches the Rfam family "Bacterial small subunit ribosomal RNA", at positions 28 to 507 of the family's 1533-position model. The record is from RNAcentral.